This is a ribosomal RNA of Betaproteobacteria bacterium, 3266 nucleotides long. It matches the Rfam family "Bacterial large subunit ribosomal RNA". NCBI's taxonomy places the organism in Bacteria, Pseudomonadati, Pseudomonadota, Betaproteobacteria. The record is from Rfam.
AGUCAAGUGACUAAGUGCAUGAGGUGGAUGCCUUGGCGAUUACAGGCGAUGAAAGACGCGAUAGCCUGCGAAAAGCUCCGGGGAGCUGGCAAAUAAGCUUUGAUCCGGAGGUCUCUGAAUGGGGAAACCCACCCGCAAGGGUACCUGUCUCUGAAUACAUAGGGGGCAAGGAGCGAACGUGGUGAACUGAAACAUCUAAGUAGCCAUAGGAACAGAAAUCAACCGAGAUUCCCAGAGUAGUGGCGAGCGAAAUGGGAACAGCCUGCAACUUUUAGCAUCUGUGUUAGCAAAAUGGUUUGGAAAAGCCAGCGAUAGUGGGUGAUAGCCCCGUAUGCGAAAACAUGGAUGUAGAACUAAGGUUGCGACAAGUAGGGCGGGACACGUGAAAUCCUGUCUGAAGAUGGGGGGACCAUCCUCCAAGGCUAAAUACUCGUAAUCGACCGAUAGUGAACCAGUACCGUGAGGGAAAGGCGAAAAGAACCCCGGGAGGGGAGUGAAAUAGAUCCUGAAACCGCAUGCAUACAAACAGUCGGAGCCCUGCUUAAUUGGUCUUUACCCCGAAGUUCUUUGUUGUCCGAGCGCGCAUCGCAAGAUGCGGGCGAGACGCAACAAAAGAUAUUUGAGGGGAGUGAAGAGCGAGAGCUUUUAGUUGAUUGAACAGAGAGAUAGGCGUACUGGACACGAGAGUGGACAGAGCCGUCACCCUGCUCAAUUGGCUGAAGGCCAAUUGAGCAGGGUGACGGCGUACCUUUUGUAUAAUGGGUCAGCGACUUACGUUGUGUUGCGAGCUUAACCGAAUAGGGAAGGCGUAGCGAAAGCGAGUCUGAUAAGGGCGAUUAGUAGCACGGCGUAGACCCGAAACCGGAUGAUCUAUCCAUGGCCAGGAUGAAGGUGCCGUAACAGGUACUGGAGGUCCGAACCCACUAACGUUGAAAAGUUAGGGGAUGAGCUGUGGAUAGGGGUGAAAGGCUAAACAAAUCCGGAAAUAGCUGGUUCUCUCCGAAAACUAUUUAGGUAGUGCCUCAAGUAUCACCAUCGGGGGUAGAGCACUGUAUUGGCUAGGGGGCCGUUUAGGUCUACCAAACCAAAGCAAACUGCGAAUACCGAUGAGUGCGAGCUUGGGAGACAGACACCGGGUGCUAACGUCCGGUGUCGAAAGGGAAACAACCCAGACCGACAGCUAAGGUCCCAAAGCAUGGUUAAGUGGAAAACGAAGUGGGAAGGCGAAGACAGUCAGGAAGUUGGCUUAGAAGCAGCCAUCCUUUAAAGAAAGCGUAAUAGCUCACUGAUCGAGUCGUCCUGCGCGGAAGAUGUAACGGGGCUAAACCAUGCACCGAAGCUUCGGAUUUGUACGCUCCACUUUAAUUUAUUGGCACAAGCUUGUUGCUGGUUCGCGGAGCGAAUCACGCAACAAAGCGACCAUCACUAAUCGAGUUAUCACCUGAUUGUGGUGGGGUAGCUUGUUGCUGGUUCGCGGAGCGAAUCACGCAACAAAGCGACCAUCACUAAUCGAGGUUUGAUUGGUGGUGGGGCUAGUGAAUUAAAGGGAGCGUACAGAUGGUAGGAGAGCGUUCUCUAGGCCUGAGAAGGUGUCUUGUAAGGGAUGCUGGAGGUAUGAGAAGUGCGAAUGCUGACAUGAGUAGCGAUAAAGGGAGUGAAAAGCUCCCUCGCCGAAAGCCCGAGGUUUCCUGCGCAACGUUCAUCGGCGCAGGGUGAGUCGGCCCCUAAGGAGAGGGCGAAAGCCGUAUCUGAUGGGAAACUGGUUAAUAUUCCAGUACCGUUAUCCAAUGCGAUGUGGGGACGGAGAAGGUUAGGCAAGCCGGGUGUUGGACGUCCCGGUUGAAGCGUGUAGGCGUGGUUUCUAGGCAAAUCCGGAGAUCUUAGCUGAGGCGUGAUAACGAGGUACUUCGGUACUGAAGUUGCUGAUACCAAGCUUCCAGGAAAAGCCACUAAGCUUCAGUUGGAUAAGACCGUACCGCAAACCGACACAGGUGGGCAGGAUGAAAAUUCUAAGGCGCUUGAGAGAACUCAGGAGAAGGAACUCGGCAAAUUGACACCGUAACUUCGGAAGAAGGUGUGCCUUGAUAAGGUGUAGAGACUUGCUCUCGAAGCCGUAAGAGGUUGCAGAGAAUCGGUGGCUGCGACUGUUUAACAAAAACACAGCACUCUGCUAAGACGAUGAGUCGACGUAUAGGGUGUGACGCCUGCCCGGUGCCGGAAGGUUAAAUGAUGGGGUGCAAGCUCUUGAUUGAAGCCCCGGUAAACGGCGGCCGUAACUAUAACGGUCCUAAGGUAGCGAAAUUCCUUGUCGGGUAAGUUCCGACCCGCACGAAUGGCGUAACGAUGGCCACACUGUCUCCUCCUGAGACUCAGCGAAGUUGAAAUGUUUGUGAAGAUGCAAUCUCCCCGCGGCUAGACGGAAAGACCCCAUGCACCUUUACUGUAGCUUUACAUUGGACUGUGACACGGCCUGUGUAGGAUAGCUGGGAGCCUAUGAAGUGGGGACGCUAGUUCUCAUGGAGGCGACGUUGAAAUACCAGCCUGGUAGUGUUGCGGUUCUAACCUGGCCCCCUGAUCGGGGGUGGGGACCGUGUAUGGUAGGCAGUUUGACUGGGGCGGUCUCCUCCCAAAGAGUAACGGAGGAGUGCGAAGGUAACCUAGGUACGGUCGGACAUCGUACUGAUAGUGCAAUGGCAUAAGGUUGCUUGACUGCGAGACUGACAAGUCGAGCAGGUGCGAAAGCAGGUCAUAGUGAUCCGGUGGUUCUGAAUGGAAGGGCCAUCGCUCAACGGAUAAAAGGUACGCUGGGGAUAACAGGCUGAUUCCUCCCAAGAGUUCAUAUCGACGGGGGAGUUUGGCACCUCGAUGUCGGCUCAUCACAUCCUGGGGCUGUAGCCGGUCCCAAGGGUAUGGCUGUUCGCCAUUUAAAGUGGUACGUGAGCUGGGUUCAAAACGUCGUGAGACAGUUUGGUCCCUAUCUGCCGUGGGCGUUGGAAAUUUGACGGGGGCUGCUCCUAGUACGAGAGGACCGGAGUGGACGUACCGCUGGUGUACCUGUUGUUUCGCCAGAAGCAUCGCAGGGUAGCUAAGUACGGAAGAGAUAACCGCUGAAAGCAUCUAAGCGGGAAACUUGCCUGAAGAUAAGAUUUCCCGGGGGUUUAACCCCCUUGAAGGGUCGUUCGAGACCAGGACGUUGAUAGGCACCGUGUGGAAGCGCAGUAAUGCGUUAAGCUAAGGUGUACUAAUUGCCCGUAAGGCUUGACUCU